This 392-nucleotide ribosomal RNA is filed under the name uncultured bacterium. RNAcentral's name for it is "partial 16S ribosomal RNA". It matches the Rfam family "Bacterial small subunit ribosomal RNA", at positions 523 to 918 of the family's 1533-position model. The record is from RNAcentral.
AUACGGAGGAUCCGAGCGUUAUCCGGAUUUAUUGGGUUUAAAGGGUGCGCAGGCGGCCAUUUAAGUCAGCGGUUAAAUCGUGGGGCUCAACCCCAUUCUGCCGUUGAUACUGGGUGGAUUGAUUGCGGUCGAGGUUGGCGGAAUUCGUUGUGUAGCGGUGAAAUGCAUAGAUAUGACGAAGAACACCGAUUGCGUAGGCAGCUGACCAGACCGCAAAUGACGCUCAUGCACGAAAGUGCGGGGAUCGAACAGGAUUAGAUACCCUGGUAGUCCGCACAGUAAACGAUGAAUACUUGUUUUCGGCGAUAUAAUGUCGGAGGCAAAGCGAAAGCGAUAAGUAUUCCACCUGGGGAGUACGCCGGCAACGGUGAAACUCAAAUGAAUUGACGGGG